ACAUAUGAGGACAAUCUGACUGUGACAUCUGUCACUCAUUCAGGGCUUGAUCGGCUGAGCUGACUAGAAAGGCUGGUGUUUCCCUUUCUCCUUCACUGCUCCACCUACAUCUCUCUCCAAGGUAUAUGCUCAGUGGGAGAACUGUUCACACAGAGAGAUGAUGACUGUUCUUAGACCAAGGGUACAUGAGUGGCUACACUCCCAGACAAGCUCUCAAGGGUCAUUUGCAAGACAAUGCAGCCAAACCAAGGUUCCAAGCCUCCAGACACAGCCAAGUGGGAGGUUGCAUGCAGCAUUCUGCCUUUCAAU
This is a non-coding RNA of Erinaceus europaeus (western European hedgehog), 309 nucleotides long. The record is from Rfam. Lineage: Eukaryota; Metazoa; Chordata; Mammalia; Eulipotyphla; Erinaceidae.